Molecule: ribosomal RNA, 440 nt
Filed under: uncultured bacterium
Lineage: Bacteria
Description: bacterial SSU rRNA
Rfam family: Bacterial small subunit ribosomal RNA
Source: RNAcentral
AACGCGAAGAACCUUACCCAGGCUUGACAUACAGUAGACCGAUCCAGAAAUGGAUCUUUCCUUCGGGACUGCUGUACAGGUGCUGCAUGGCUGUCGUCAGCUCGUGCCGUGAGGUGUUGGGUUAAGUCCCGCAACGAGCGCAACCCUUAUCAUUAGUUGCCAACAUUUCGGAUGGGAACUCUAAUGAGACUGCCUGGGUUAACCAGGAGGAAGGUGAGGAUGACGUCAAGUCCGCAUGGCCCUUAUGUCUGGGGCUACACACGUGCUACAAUGGUCGGUACAGAGGGCAGCGAAGCCGCGAGGUGAAGCAAAUCCCACAAAGCCGGCCCCAGUUCAGAUUGUAGUCUGCAACUCGACUACAUGAAGAUGGAAUUGCUAGUAAUGGCGAGUCAGCAACAUCGCCGUGAAUACGUUCCCGGGCCUUGUACACACCGAUACUC